Molecule: ribosomal RNA, 615 nt
Filed under: uncultured bacterium
Lineage: Bacteria
Description: bacterial SSU rRNA
Rfam family: Bacterial small subunit ribosomal RNA
Source: RNAcentral
GAGUUUGAUCCUGGCUCAGGACGAACGCUGGCGGCGUGCCUAAUACAUGCAAGUCGAGCGAGCUUGCCUAGAUGAUUUUAGUGCUUGCACUAAAUGAAACUAGAUACAAGCGAGCGGCGGACGGGUGAGUAACACGUGGGUAACCUGCCCAAGAGACUGGGAUAACACCUGGAAACAGAUGCUAAUACCGGAUAACAACACUAGACGCAUGUCUAGAGUUUGAAAGAUGGUUCUGCUAUCACUCUUGGAUGGACCUGCGGUGCAUUAGCUAGUUGGUAAGGUAACGGCUUACCAAGGCAAUGAUGCAUAGCCGAGUUGAGAGACUGAUCGGCCACAUUGGGACUGAGACACGGCCCAAACUCCUACGGGAGGCAGCAGUAGGGAAUCUUCCACGAUGGACGAAAGUCUGAUGGAGCAACGCCGCGUGAGUGAAGAAGGGUUUCGGCUCGUAAAGCUCUGUUGGUAGUGAAGAAAGAUAGAGGUAGUAACUGGCCUUUAUUUGACGGUAAUUACUUAGAAAGUCACGGCUAACUACGUGCCAGCAGCCGCGGUAAUACGUAGGUGGCAAGCGUUGUCCGGAUUUAUUGGGCGUAAAGCGAGUGCAGGCGGUUCAAU